GGUCUGACUGUUCGUUGCAUAGCUCAAUGGGCUUGGUUAUCAUCUGCUUUUACCACUUCCAUAAUAAUUCCGUUCACCUACAAAAAAACAACAGUGAAAUAUUUAUUUAAAAUUUUUUAAUUAAAUUUUAUUAACCAAAAAAGAACAAAUUUUUUGUAAAGAAAAAUAAAAUUUUUAUAGAAAAAUGUCAGUUCCUUCAAUAACACUGAAUAAUGGAUCAAAAGUACCAGUUCUUGGACUCGGUACAUGGCAGGGUGUUGACAGUCCGUCUGAAGUCGAAAGUGCAGUUCGAUUAGCAAUUGACAUCGGUUAUCGGCACUUUGAUUGCGCCGCUGUUUAUGGGAACGAGAGGGAAAUUGGCAAAGUUUUGCGAGAAAAAAUUGCAGAUGGCACCGUAAAGAGGGAAGAUUUAUUUAUUGUUACUAAAGUUUGGAAUGAUGACCACAAGGAACAGGAAGUGGUAAAAGCUUGUAAAGAUUCGUUAAAAAAAUUCGGUCUCGACUAUAUCGACCUUUAUCUAAUUCACUGGCCAGUGUCUGAUUCGGACGAUGUCGACUAUAUUGAAACGUGGCGGGGAAUGGAGAAAUGCGUGGAACUGAAAUUAACGAAAAAUAUCGGUUUGAGUAAUUUUAAUGCCGAGCAAAUAAGGAGAAUAUUGGCGGUUGCAAAGAUAAAACCAGUUAUGAAUCAAGUCGAAUGCCACGUGAAUUUAGUGCAGAAAAAAUUACGAGACUUGUGCCGUGAAUAUUCAAUAGAAAUUACAUCGUACAGUCCAUUUGGUGCACCAAACACACCGGGAUCAAAUUCGGGUUUCAAGUCCGUUGAAAAAGUCACACUCGACGCGCCAAUUCUUCUGAAAUUGGCGGAAAAAUAUAACAAAACGAAAUUUCAAAUCGCUCUCCGAUUUUUGGUCGACAUUGGCACGAUUCCGAUUCCAAAAUCGAGUACAGAAAAGAAUCUCAAGGCUAAUUUUGAUAUUUUCGAUUUUAAAUUGACAGCGGAGGAAAUUAUCGAAAUUGAAAAAUUGGAUUCUGGAAAGAGAACUUGCCCGGCAGUUCAAUACAAAGGAUUUAAAUACUAUCCAUUCGAUGACGAAUUUUGAGAACUCCCAGAGUACUUGAAACAAUAAACGGCUAAAUAAUCCCAAAUACAAAACUAAAUACAGAAAUUUGUAUAAGAAUAUAAAAAGAGAGAAUUCGAAUGGAUGUUGGUGCACGAGCGACGAGGUCUCUCUUCAUCGUCCGUGCUCUAGAACUGUAUCCCGCGUUGCAUUAAAAUAGUUACCUAUUCACUCUCAAUCGUUGCAUAAGGAACGUAAGAGAAUUGAAAUUUGAAAUCUUUAAGUUUUAAAACACGAAUUUUAAAAAUCAACUUUUAAAAAUCGGAUUUUGAAAAACAACUUUUAAAAAUCGAAUUUUGAA
RNA transcript from Leptopilina heterotoma, 1421 nucleotides. It is a transcript of the gene named aldo-keto reductase AKR2E4-like, with no coding region annotated. The transcript is spliced from 7 exons. The record is from RefSeq and is a predicted model, not a curated record. Lineage: Eukaryota; Metazoa; Arthropoda; Insecta; Hymenoptera; Figitidae.